This 301-nucleotide ribosomal RNA is filed under the name uncultured bacterium. RNAcentral's name for it is "partial 16S ribosomal RNA". It matches the Rfam family "Bacterial small subunit ribosomal RNA", at positions 509 to 807 of the family's 1533-position model. The record is from RNAcentral.
CAGUAGCCGCGGUAAUACGUAGGUGGCAAGCGUUGUCCGGAAUUAUUGGGCGUAAAGGGCUCGCAGGCGGUUUCUUAGGUCUGAUGUGAAAGCCCCCGGCUCAACCGGGGAGGGUCAUUGGAAACUGGGAAACCUGAGUGCAGAAGAGGAGAGUGGAAUUCCACGUGUAGCGGUGAAAUGCGUAGAGAUGUGGAGGAACACCAGUGGCGAAGGCGACUCUCCGGUCCGUAACUGACGCUGAGGAGCGAAAGCGUGGGGAGCGAACAGGAUUAGAUACCCCAGUAGUCCCUGUCUCUUAUAC